AACGAACGCUGGCGGCGCGUUUUAAGCAUGCAAGUCGAACGGGAUAAAGGUGCUUGCACCUUUUGAGAGUGGCGAACGGGUGAGUAACACGUAAGUGAUCUGCCCUGGGGAUGGGGAUAGCUCAUGGAAACAUGGGAUAAGACCGAAUACCGUAACACUAUUUGAAGGUUAUGUUACGAAAAGAGCUACGGCUCUGCCCUGGGAUGAGCUUGCGGCCCAUUAGCUAGUUGGUGAGGUAAAGGCUCACCAAGGCGACGAUGGGUAGCCGGCCUGAGAGGGUGAACGGCCACAUUGGGACUGAGACACGGCCCAGACUCCUACGGGAGGCAGCAGCUAAGAAUCUUCCGCAAUGGGCGAAAGCCUGACGGAGCGACGCCGCGUGAACGAAGAAGGCAGAGAUGUUGUAAAGUUCUUUUCCUGUUGAAGAA
Molecule: ribosomal RNA, 428 nt
Filed under: uncultured bacterium
Lineage: Bacteria
Description: bacterial SSU rRNA
Rfam family: Bacterial small subunit ribosomal RNA
Source: RNAcentral